This is a long non-coding RNA of Falco peregrinus (peregrine falcon), 616 nucleotides long. RefSeq lists it as uncharacterized. Lineage: Eukaryota; Metazoa; Chordata; Aves; Falconiformes; Falconidae. The transcript has 4 exons. The record is from RefSeq and is a predicted model, not a curated record.
CCCAGGGCUGCCCAAGCACAGGCCCUGGCCCCGGAGCCCCUGUGGGACAGGGACGAGGGGAAGGGAGGCACCAAGCGGCAGGGAGAGUGUACGGAUGCAUUUAUGAAGGCAAGUGUUGGGUCUUAUUGGCGCCGCACAAGAAACCAACGUGUGAAACCCAGACAUUCACUGUUAGAAACAGGAAGAAGCUGUGGGCCCUUGCUUCAGAUUCUGCAAAAGAUGUACCAAGGCUGAGGAAAUUGGCAAAAAGGGAAGAAAUGCCGUAGCAUAACUUUGGGAUGGCAGAUUGUACACAAAUGGGAGGCCUGAGCAGGCUGCAUUUAGCAGGGGAACAUGACCUGACUGCACAGGAGGCAAGGAACUCUCUUCUCUCGCUGACCAUGAGCCCUCAGUUUCAAGGCAGAUGUGAAGAGGAAUAUUUGACCCGUGGGAAAUGCAACUUCAGAUACGUAACCCAGGUGUCGCUGAAACAAAGAAGUCCAAGAGUACCAGGGAGUUGCCUCCCCUUCAGGAGGAAGGGAAGAAAAACAACUUGCCAGAUGAAGUGCUGAUCCAUUUCACCUAUGCAAACAGGAAAGGAGCGAAGAAACAAUGAGAAUGUACGUGAGAUGCAAAG